UACGGGGGGAGCAAGCGUUGUUCGGAUUUACUGGGCGUAAAGGGCGCGUAGGCGGUCAGCACAAGUCAGUUGUGAAAUCUCCGGGCUUAACCCGGAAAGGUCAACUGAUACUGUGCGACUAGAGUGCGGAAGGGGCAACUGGAAUUCUCGGUGUAGCGGUGAAAUGCGUAGAUAUCGAGAGGAACACCUGCGGCGAAGGCGGGUUGCUGGGCCAUCACUGACGCUGAGACACGAAAGCGUGGGGAGCAAACGGG
This 254-nucleotide ribosomal RNA is filed under the name uncultured bacterium. RNAcentral's name for it is "partial 16S ribosomal RNA". It matches the Rfam family "Bacterial small subunit ribosomal RNA", at positions 524 to 776 of the family's 1533-position model. The record is from RNAcentral.